This 399-nucleotide ribosomal RNA is filed under the name Tetraselmis cordiformis. RNAcentral's name for it is "partial small subunit ribosomal RNA". It matches the Rfam family "Eukaryotic small subunit ribosomal RNA", at positions 30 to 432 of the family's 1831-position model. Lineage: Eukaryota; Viridiplantae; Chlorophyta; Chlorodendrophyceae; Chlorodendrales; Chlorodendraceae. The record is from RNAcentral.
GCUUGUCUCAAAGAUUAAGCCAUGCAUGUCUAAGUAUAAACUGCUUAUACUGUGAAACUGCGAAUGGCUCAUUAAAUCAGUUAUAGUUUAUUUGAUGGUACCUACUACUCGGAUAACCGUAGUAAUUCUAGAGCUAAUACGUGCGUAAAUCCCGACUCCUGGAAGGGACGUAUUUAUUAGAUUUAAGGCCAACCGAGCUUGCUCGUCUCUUGGUGAAUCAUGAUAACUUCACGAAUCGCAUGGCCUCGCGCCGGCGAUAUUUCAUUCAAAUUUCUGCCCUAUCAACUUUCGACGGUAGGAUAGAGGCCUACUGUGGUGAUAACGGGUAACGAAGAAUAAGGGUUCGAUUUCGGAGAGGGAGCCUGAGAAACGGCUACCACAUCCAAGGAAGGCAGCAGG